AAGGUGGCCUGUGAGGGUUGCUGGAGGUAUCAGAAGUGCGAAUGCUGACAUAAGUAACGAUAAAGCGGGUGAAAAGCCCGCUCGCCGGAAGACCAAGGGUUCCUGUCCAACGUUAAUCGGGGCAGGGUGAGUCGACCCCUAAGGCGAGGCCGAAAGGCGUAGUCGAUGGGAAACGGGUUAAUAUUCCCGUACUUGGUGUUACUGCGAAGGGGGGACGGAGAAGGCUAUGUUGGCCGGGCGACGGUUGUCCCGGUUUAAGCGUGUAGGUGUGUGUUCCAGGUAAAUCCGGUUCACUUUAACACUGAGGCGUGAUGACGAGGCACUACGGUGCUGAAGCAACAAAUGCCCUGCUUCCAGGAAAAGCCUCUAAGCAUCAGGUAACAUCAAAUCGUACCCCAAACCGACACAGGUGGUCAGGUAGAGAAUACCAAGGCGCUUGAGAGAACUCGGGUGAAGGAACUAGGCAAAAUGGUGCCGUAACUUCGGGAGAAGGCACGCUGACACGUAGGUGAAGUGAUUUACUCACGGAGCUGAAGUCAGUCGAAGAUACCAGCUGGCUGCAACUGUUUAUUAAAAACACAGCACUGUGCAAACACGAAAGUGGACGUAUACGGUGUGACGCCUGCCCGGUGCCGGAAGGUUAAUUGAUGGGGUCAGCGCAAGCGAAGCUCCUGAUCGAAGCCCCGGUAAACGGCGGCCGUAACUAUAACGGUCCUAAGGUAGCGAAAUUCCUUGUCGGGUAAGUUCCGACCUGCACGAAUGGCGUAAUGAUGGCCAGGCUGUCUCCACCCGAGACUCAGUGAAAUUGAACUCGCUGUGAAGAUGCAGUGUACCCGCGGCAAGACGGAAAGACCCCGUGAACCUUUACUAUAGCUUGACACUGAACAUUGAGCCUUGAUGUGUAGGAUAGGUGGGAGGCUUUGAAGUGUGGACGCCAGUCUGCAUGGAGCCGACCUUGAAAUACCACCCUUUAAUGUUUGAUGUUCUAACGUGGACCCGUUACCCGGGUUGCGGACAGUGUCUGGUGGGUAGUUUGACUGGGGCGGUCUCCUCCUAAAGAGUAACGGAGGAGCACGAAGGUUGGCUAAUCCUGGUCGGACAUCAGGAGGUUAGUGCAAUGGCAUAAGCCAGCUUGACUGCGAGCGUGACGGCGCGAGCAGGUGCGAAAGCAGGUCAUAGUGAUCCGGUGGUUCUGAAUGGAAGGGCCAUCGCUCAACGGAUAAAAGGUACUCCGGGGAUAACAGGCUGAUACCGCCCAAGAGUUCAUAUCGACGGCGGUGUUUGGCACCUCGAUGUCGGCUCAUCACAUCCUGGGGCUGAAGUAGGUCCCAAGGGUAUGGCUGUUCGCCAUUUAAAGUGGUACGCGAGCUGGGUUUAGAACGUCGUGAGACAGUUCGGUCCCUAUCUGCCGUGGGCGCUGGAGAACUGAGGGGGGCUGCUCCUAGUACGAGAGGACCGGAGUGGACGCAUCACUGGUGUUCGGGUUGUCAUGCCAAUGGCACUGCCCGGUAGCUAAAUGCGGAAGAGAUAAGUGCUGAAAGCAUCUAAGCACGAAACUUGCCCCGAGAUGAGUUCU
This 1576-nucleotide ribosomal RNA is filed under the name Salmonella enterica. RNAcentral describes it as "bacterial LSU rRNA". It matches the Rfam family "Bacterial large subunit ribosomal RNA", at positions 1253 to 2812 of the family's 2925-position model. The record is from RNAcentral. Lineage: Bacteria; Pseudomonadati; Pseudomonadota; Gammaproteobacteria; Enterobacterales; Enterobacteriaceae.